GAUGAACGCUGGCGGCGUGCCUAAUACAUGCAAGUCGAGCGAACAGACGAGGAGCUUGCUCCUCUGACGUUAGCGGCGGACGGGUGAGUAACACGUGGAUAACCUACCUAUAAGACUGGGAUAACUUCGGGAAACCGGAGCUAAUACCGGAUAAUAUAUUGAACCGCAUGGUUCAAUAGUGAAAGACGGUUUUGCUGUCACUUAUAGAUGGAUCCGCGCCGCAUUAGCUAGUUGGUAAGGUAACGGCUUACCAAGGCGACGAUGCGUAGCCGACCUGAGAGGGUGAUCGGCCACACUGGAACUGAGACACGGUCCAGACUCCUACGGGAGGCAGCAGUAGGGAAUCUUCCGCAAUGGGCGAAAGCCUGACGGAGCAACGCCGCGUGAGUGAUGAAGGUCUUCGGAUCGUAAAACUCGGUUAUUAGGGAAGAACAAAUGUGUAAGUAACUAUGCACGUCUUGACGGUACCUAAUCAGAAAGCCACGGCUAACUACGUGC
Molecule: ribosomal RNA, 498 nt
Filed under: uncultured bacterium
Lineage: Bacteria
Description: partial 16S ribosomal RNA
Rfam family: Bacterial small subunit ribosomal RNA
Source: RNAcentral